This 1898-nucleotide ribosomal RNA is filed under the name Escherichia coli. RNAcentral's name for it is "partial 23S ribosomal RNA". It matches the Rfam family "Bacterial large subunit ribosomal RNA", at positions 1 to 1902 of the family's 2925-position model. Lineage: Bacteria; Pseudomonadati; Pseudomonadota; Gammaproteobacteria; Enterobacterales; Enterobacteriaceae. The record is from RNAcentral.
GGAUAAGGAAAGUAAAAAAGGGCGCAUGGCGGAUGCCUUGGCUCUCGGAGGCGAUGAAGGACGUGAUAAGCUGCGAUAAGCUUUGGGGAGGUGCAAAUGACCUUUGAUCCAGAGAUUUCCGAAUGGGACAACCCAAUAUCUUGAAGAGGUAUUAUCUUACUAUGUAAGAGGCUAACGCAGGGAACUGAAACAUCUUAGUACCUGCAGGAAAAGAAAAUAAACAAUGAUUCCCCCAGUAGUGGCGAGCGAACGGGGAACAGCCCAAACCAUCCAUGUUACGGCAUGGGUGGGGUUGUAGGACUACGCCGUUGCAUGAAGACAUCAGAGAAGAACUUUCUGGAAAGAAAGACCAUAGAGCAUGACAGUUGCGUAUUCGAAUGUUGUCGAAGCAUAGUAGUAUCCUGAGUAGCGCGGAGCACGAGGAAUUCUGCGUGAAUCUGCCGGGACCAUCCGGUAAGGCUAAAUACUCCCGAGAGACCGAUAGCGAACCAGUACCGUGAGGGAAAGGUGAAAAGCACUUCGAACAGAAGAGUGAAAUAGUUCCUGAAACCGUGCGCCUACAAGCGGUCGGAGCUCGUUAAUGAGUGACGGCGUGCCUUUUGCAUAAUGAACCUACGAGUUGCCUUUGCCGGCAAGGUUAAGUGUGACGACACACGUAUCCGAAGCGAAAGCGAGUCUGAACAGGGCGUAUAGUCGGCAGUGGCAGACGCGAAACCAAGUGAUCUACCCUUGGCCAGGUUGAAGGCUGGGUAACACCAGCUGGAGGACCGCACCAAUAAGCGUUGAAAAGCUUCUGGAUGAGCUGAGGGUAGGGGUGAAAGGCUAAUCAAACUUGGAGAUAGCUCGUACUCCCCGAAAUGCAUUUAGGUGCAGCCUUGCGGGUUACUGAUGUGAGGUAGAGCGACUGAUAAGAUGCGAGGGCUUCACCGCCUAUCAAGUCUUGACAAACUCCGAAUGCGCAUCAGUUCUACCGCAGGAGUGAGGGCAUGGGUGCUAAGGUCCGUGCCCGAGAGGAGAAGAAUCCGGACCACCUGCUAAGGUCCCGAAAUGACAGCUAAGUUAAACUAACGAAGUCUGACUGCUAAGACAGCUAGGAUGUUGGCUUGGAAGCAGCCAUUCAUUUAAAGAGUGCGUAACAGCUCACUAGUCGAGGAGUCGGGCGUGGAUAAUAAUCGGGUAUCAAGUUGUCUACCGAAGCAGUGGGAUCAUUUAUAUGAUCGGUAGGGGAGCAUUCCAGUCAGCGUCGAAGGCGUACCGUGAGGUAUUCUGGAGCGUCUGGAAAAGCAAAUGUAGGUAUAAGUAACGAUAAAGGGGGCGGGAAACCCCCUCGCCGAAAGACUAAGGUUUCCUGAUCAACGCUAAUCGGAUCAGGGUCAGUCGGGUCCUAAGGCUCAGCCGAACGGCGAUGCCGAUGGCAGAAACGGUUAAUAUUCCGUUACUACCUUCAGGAGUGACGUGGAGACGCAGUAGUGACAGUGCCGCCAUCUGACGGAAUAGAUGGUUGAAGGGUGUAGGAGUCGAUCAUGGCAGGCAAAUCCACCAUGAGAUCCGAACCUGACAGUAUGCCGCGUCCUUCGGGACAAGGCAAUAGUGCGCGUAAGCAUGCUGCCGAGAAAAUCCGCUAAACUUAAUCCUGCAGGUACCCGUACCGCAAACGGACACACGUAGUCGGGAUGAAUAUUCUAAGGCGCUUGAGUGAUUCACGGUUAAGGAACUAGGCAAACUGACCCUGUAACUUCGGGAUAAAGGGUCCCUACCCUUUUAUGGGAGGGCGCAGAGAAUCGGUCCAGGCAACUGUUUAACAAAAACACAGGGCUGUGCCAAAUCGAAAGAUCCAGUAUACAGCCUGACACCUGCCCGGUGCUGGAAGGUUAAGAGGAGAUGUCAUCGAUAAGAGA